RNAcentral lists this ribosomal RNA (253 nucleotides) under uncultured bacterium. RNAcentral's name for it is "partial 16S ribosomal RNA". It matches the Rfam family "Bacterial small subunit ribosomal RNA", at positions 524 to 776 of the family's 1533-position model. The record is from RNAcentral.
UACGGAGGAUCCAAGCGUUAUCCGGAUUUAUUGGGUUUAAAGGGUGCGUAGGCGGAUUGAUAAGUUAGAGGUGAAAUGACCGAGCUCAACUCGGGAACUGCCUCUAAUACUGUUGAUCUAGAGAGUAGAUGCGGUAGGCGGAAUGUAUGGUGUAGCGGUGGAAUGCGUAGAUAUAUGGAAGAACACCAGUGGCGAAGGCGGCUCUCUGGUCUGUAACUGACGCUGAGGCUCGAAAGCAUGGGUAGCGAACAGG